UAAAGUGCGAAAUGUAGUGCAAUCUGCAUGAAUCUGUGAGUCAUUUAAUCUUUGAAUGCAACUUGCGCCCCUCGGGGGCGUGUCUGCUUGAGUGCCACAAACAUACAGUAUGCAGCAAUGCGACGUGACAUUGUCUCGCAGCGGCGGCUGGUUGCGUGGGUGGGAUCACGUCAAGUGUGAACAUGAGCAACGGUGCGCGCGCUAGACUCUGGUUUAAAGUGAGCAAGCUUGCGCAAGUGAUUGGCUAGUCCGAGUGCCAAGCAUUCUUGGGUCUGGCAGGAUCAUGUGCGUGUGCGCGGGGGGAUCUACGCCCCUCGCCAUCUCGUGGUUGGCCUCAAGUCAGGCAAGAUUACCCGCUGAACUUAA
RNAcentral lists this unclassified non-coding RNA (366 nucleotides) under uncultured fungus. Its description in RNAcentral is "sequence contains ITS1". The stretch from base 1 to 97 matches the Rfam family "5.8S ribosomal RNA", at positions 49 to 154 of the family's 154-position model. Lineage: Eukaryota; Fungi. The record is from RNAcentral.